GUACAAUUGAAAGUAACUUGCCAGUUUAAUCAAUCCUGUCUCCAUGAUUUGGAAAAACAUGAGGCACUACAUCUCUUUGACCAUGACCGGAACGGGGCUUGAGCCCCCAGGAAGAGAGGUGGAGGUCAAGAAGAGGUCAGCCUGGGUGGAGGAGCAGCUCUGUCACCCCUGGUGUCCUUGGUCAUGUUGCUCAGCCUCUCCCUAGGGUCUUCUUAUCUGCAGCAGAGUCAAUAAUCCCUGCCCCACCUAUCUAUAGGGCUGAAAUGAGGCUGAAGAGAAACAAUAGGUCCUCGCCACUCUCUGCUCCUCUCACUUGAAUAAUUCAGCUGUCCCCCAGGUCUCAGGAGUCAGUCCUUGUUCACAGGAAUUCUUUCCUGAUUGCCACGUCAAGAUUAGGUACGCUUCCUAGGUGAGCACUUGCCACAUGUGGGCCUGUCUGCUGUCAUGCUGCAUCUCCUCCACCCCUACCCAAAUCCCCAGCUUCACAACAUCCUUUGUACGCGUUGAAUUGCGUCCUCUCCCCCACAAAAUUCAUAUGUUGAAGACCUGUCCUUCAUUACCUCAAAAUGUGACCUUGUUUGGAGAUAGAGUCUUACAGAGCUAAUCAAGUUAAAACGAGGUCGUCAGGGUGAGCUCUAAUCCAAUAUAACCAUGUCCUUAUGAAAAGGGGAAAUUGGGAGGCAGACACACACAGGGACAACGCCAUGGCAAGAUGAAGGCAGAGAUUGGGGUGAUGCUUCUCCCAGCCAAGCAACGCCAAAGACGAUCAGCAAAUCACUGGAAGCAGUGGGGGAGGCAUGGAAUGGGUUCUUCCCCACAGCCCUCAGAAGGAACCAACCCUGCUGACAUCUGUGAGACAGUGAACUUCUGCUGUUUAAGCCACCCCGUCUGUGGCACUUUGUUAUGGCAGCCCUGGCAAACUCAUGCAGGUGGCAAUCAGGUUUCUUUUCUGUAUUUUUUGCCGCUGCGACUACAGAGCUUAGCACAGCGCCUCGGACACAUCAUGGGAGCUCAAAACAUAAUGACUGAAAGGACAGUUCAUCCUUGGGGGAACAAACAAGAGAUAUGGUUCCUGCACUUGAAGAUCUCACAAUGUGAUGGAAAACACACAGAAGGAACAAGACAAUUCAAAGUGUGUGCUUAAGGCCGGGGUCAGAGAUGUGGAAGCUCAGCGUCCUGGGCCUGCCGAGCCCCUAAUUCAGAUGGGAGCAGGCGGUGCAGGGCAGCCACCCCGGAAAUCUCCCAAAGCCUCGAUCUUGAAGUACGAUUUAGUCAAGCAGAGAAAGAGAAAUGGACAGAGAGACAGAGAGAACAAAACCCCACGGCAAGAGAAAACAUGGGCUGUUUGUGGACCUUGGUUGCCCUGAACGCUGUGCUCAAGAUGGGAAGGAAAGCAGGCUGACACAACUCAUCUGCAGGACGGGGGAGGAGAGCACCGUGGCACACAGCCUGAGGGCCCGGCUUCUGCUUCCUGCGGCACUGUCCCAGCUGGCCCCGGGCCCCAUGGAAGCCAACUAGAUGGACAUGCUCUCAGCACUGCAGGUGUUUACAGUACCCACUUGCCCCUGCAGACCCCAAAUGCCAGGGGACUCAUCUGCUGAUCGUGGUCGGGGCUGGUGUUGACAUUUGCAUCAGUCAGGCCAGAGCCCACCUCAACGGGUCAUCCUUCUGUCGGCACUUCAGAGGCACUACAGGACAGCUGCAGAGCUGGGGCUCACCACAGAGCAGGGCUGCCACCAGUGUGGGUAGAAGCUCACGACCUGGAAUUUCCCUGCUGUUAUGGAUGGGCCUUGAUGGGCUUUUCUUUGACUUCCUCUUGUAGACCUUUGGACAGCGCUAUUACCGAUGCAAUACAUGCAAUAGCGUCCUGUUCCACUCCAGGAGGGGCUGCGUUUCAGCAAUGGGAGGGGUUUGCCCCAUACCCUGAGGGGCAUUUACUAGGAGCGAAGGCCAGCAGAGCAAGGGCAGCACACCCAGCCAAUCCAUCAGGCCCUGGGAGUCUGCUGUGUGGCAGAGACUGCGGAAGUCUCGCCCCCGCCCGCUUACCAGGACAUUUGGGAGAAUUCAGCAAGCCAUGUAUUCUAAGCCCUGGCAGAUUUAAAGGGGAGAGAGAGAAAGUCGGGGCUCUACAGGUCAAUUUUAUUACUGUUGUCAGGGACAAAUCUGUAGACAGUGUAUGAGAGCAGAGUGUUGAGACAAAGGACUUUCAACGUCAAGGUAAUGAACUUGCAAUGCAAUUUUUUAAAAAACUAUGAAUUGUCAUCAAUAUCCCAAUUGAUAUAUUUCACAUUUAAAAAAUCAAGGUUUCCAUCUUCUCUGGAAACAUACGAAGACGUAGCAACAUUCGGCACAUAUUUCUGCAUGUCAGCAAUCAGCUCGAGCUCAGACACAGCUCUUCCCUCUAAAUGGAGCCAUGUUGUCCAGUUUGCCAGAAUCCUACUGAGUCGCUUUUAAUCAUUUAUAUUACUUGCCUGGCUCUGCAGGCAUUUGAGUUGGGGGGCCUCACGCUUACUCGCUGGGCCCCAGAGGUCCAAUCAAGCAGGGCUUGUAGGGAGAAGCACCUCUCUCUUAUUUACCAACCUGGCCCAAGGGCGGACACGUGACUCUUUCUCCCUAUUGCCUCAUCAAACCUACCUCCCCAGUCUACACAGAUAAUACAACAUGGAACCAGUUCACUGAAGCAUUACUAAUGGUAUGGGAUAGCAACUCUCUGUGGACACAGAGAAUUCUGAACAUCUUGACUUCGAAAAUACAGCAUUCUAAUCUUCAGUGUAGGGUUUGUGAACUGCCUCCCGGAUCCUGGGGUUGGACUUAACUCCUAGCACCUAAAUCCUUUAAAGCAUUUCUCAGUUCCUCAAAUUUCAGACCCGAGAAGUGAGGCUCAGAAAAUCCUCAGGAUUCCUUCUCUUGUUUGCCAGAGCCCCACCUUCUGAAUUCCGGUUUCCCGUCUGAGGACCUGCCAUUUCACAAUAAUUCACAAUGGGAAAGCCCCUCCAUGUCAAAGAAGACCGAGCGUGCCCAGAUGGACUGCGACAUUAAUAUUCAGCUUACAACAAGAUAAUCACCUCCCAUGACAGACCCCAGCUGUUUAUGCAAGAGACACGUGGGCAUCAUGUUCGACCCUUGCUGUUCCAUUAUAAGCAUCAAUUCUGCCCACACUGAGUGGGGAUCUAAACUUUCAUGUGAAUGGAAGACUCACUCAGCUAUCAGCUUCUUAGGCCUGCAGAACUUUCUUCAACUAAUUCAGCUAAGCGUUGCAAAGCCUUGUGCCCUCCUCCUUUGCAAAGCCCUACUCCCCAGUGUAAGAUAAACUGGACUCGUCUGAGUAGAAGGAAAGAGAGGGGAUUUAUGGGGUGAAGAUUUGAUUUCAAGCUUCUCUACAAUUUAAAUGCUCUGCAGCUCCCUUUCCUCACCUGUCUGCUCCACCCUGCCCAUGUGAGGAUCAAAUGACAUAAGAGAGUGAAAAACUCUGUUAUGAAUUCUCGCAUAAAGUUAGUAAUUAACUAGUACCGAGACUGCACGGAAGUUUCUGUGAGAUGGCUUACAGCGAUUAUGUACACGCCAAGCGGGCAAAUACGUCCUCCUGGGACAUUCAUUCUGUACCUCUGCAGCACGGCUAUUGUCUGACUCAUGUCUGCAGGAUUAGAAGGCCGGUUUCUCAGGAUGCCGGGAAAAUCAGGCCGGUUGGCAAAUCAAUAAUAUCUGGUGAGAGGCCUUAUAGAGAAUCAUGAAUGAAAAUGGCAAAAAUUAAUCAAUUUUUAUUUCAUUAUCAAGUGCUUAAUACUUAUGAUAUAACAAAUAUUAAGGAUAAUUUUAAUUACUUUGAACGUCAUCAUUAGUUAUUUAAUAAUUGAUUAUAAUAUGCUUAUUCAAUUAAUAAUUAUAAUUAUUGAAUAAUUAAUAAUUUAUUCUGUCAUGUCUGUUAAUUAGUUAAUGCACGAAUGAUUAAGUAGGUUGUGGGAGGCUGUUGCAAAAGGUGAGACAAAUUCAGAGGGAGAAGGCAGAAAAGAUAUCUGUUCAUGUCAUUGGGCCUCCAGAGAACCACAAGAAUACAUACCUUGGAACCGGAAAUGAGUACACAUGCUCUUCUAGAAUAUGUUCUCUGCACAGGUGUUUUAAGUUUCAAAUAUUUUUACCUGAUUUUUAAAGAAUAAAUCAUCAUUGGUAUAGAUUUUUUGUAUUAAAAAAAAUUCAUGGCCCCAAAUUGCAAUCUGCUGUGAAAAUUUGAUCAGGAGAAAGGUUUCUCAUCACACAAAAUUUGGGACAUGGAGAACGUGUUUUCCCCAGGGUCCAGGGGAAAGUUGAAGCCCUGGGCAGAAGGGAAAUUAACUUGAUCUGGAAAUUCAGGAUUGAGAAUGAUUUUCGUUAGGUUCUGAGCCAAUCAAAGGAAUGCUAUUUGUGUGCCUUUAGCUAACAACCUCACCUGAUACCCGCCUACCACGUCUUGUUCAACAGAAAGGAAUAUCUAUUUAUCAUCCAUUGAGAAAAUGCCCUUUUUGCUCUCAGUGACAAUUUUCUCAAAUAAAAAGCCAGAUUGAGGAAGGAAUGCAUAAACUAAAUGGAAUAUUACUUGGCCAUAAAAAGGAAUGAAGUUCUGACACAUGCUACAGCAUGGAGGAAACUCGAAAACAGCAUGUUAAGGGAAAGAAGCCAGUCAUGAAAAGACAAAAAUUAUAUGAUUCCACUUGCAUGAGCUGGACACCCUCUCCCGGCCAUGCCUGCCAACCUCACAACUCUGCUUCCAGUCUCAGCUCCACCAAGAAAAGCUUCGGAACCACAGAAACGCGUUCUGGGGAAUGAGUUUGUUUAAAGCCUUCGCUGUUGGUUUUAGUCAAAAUUUUUAAAAUAUCUUAAAAGCACGAUUGAUAUAUAAACUAAAAUAGAACUGCAACUUCAGAGAAAAUAAAAAUAGACUUAUCGUAGACUAGCAAUUAAUACCAUGAUAAAUCUAUUUUCAUAUUUCUUUUCUCUUAUUUCAGAAAGUAAGA
Equus caballus (horse) is the source of this 4988-nucleotide long non-coding RNA. Lineage: Eukaryota; Metazoa; Chordata; Mammalia; Perissodactyla; Equidae. The record is from Ensembl.